CCUACGGGGCGCUGCAGUGAGGAAUAUUGGUCAAUGGGCGCGAGCCUGAACCAGCCAAGUCGCGUGAGGGAAGACGGUCCUAUGGAUUGUAAACUGCUUUUAUACGGGAAUAACGCGCCUUACGUGUAGGGCUUUGCAUGUACCGUAUGAAUAAGGACCGGCUAAUUCCGUGCCAGCAGCCGCGGUAAUACGGAAGGUCCGGGCGUUAUCCGGAUUUAUUGGGUUUAAAGGGCGCGUAGGCCGCAUGUCAAGCGUGCUGUGAAAUGUCCGGGCUCAACCCGGGCCUUGCAGCGCGAACUGGCGUGCUUGAGUCCGCGGAAAGCAGGCGGAAUUCGUCGUGUAGCGGUGAAAUGCUUAGAUAUGACGAAGAACCCCGAUUGCGAAGGCAGCUUGCUGCAGCGGAACUGACGCUGAUGCUCGAAAGCGCAGGUAUCGAACAGGAUUAGAUACCCCAGUAGUC
Molecule: ribosomal RNA, 460 nt
Filed under: uncultured bacterium
Lineage: Bacteria
Description: partial 16S ribosomal RNA
Rfam family: Bacterial small subunit ribosomal RNA
Source: RNAcentral